RNAcentral lists this ribosomal RNA (164 nucleotides) under uncultured bacterium. RNAcentral describes it as "partial 16S rRNA". It matches the Rfam family "Bacterial small subunit ribosomal RNA", at positions 355 to 511 of the family's 1533-position model. The record is from RNAcentral.
UAGGGAAUCUUCCACAAUGGACGCAAGUCUGAUGGAGCAACGCCGCGUGAGUGAAGAAGGUCUUCGGAUCGUAAAACCCUGUUGUUAGAGAAGAACACGAGUGAGAGUAACUGUUCAUUCGAUGACGGUAUCUAACCAGCAAGUCACGGCUAACUACGUGCCAG